RNAcentral lists this ribosomal RNA (253 nucleotides) under uncultured bacterium. Its description in RNAcentral is "partial 16S ribosomal RNA". It matches the Rfam family "Bacterial small subunit ribosomal RNA", at positions 524 to 776 of the family's 1533-position model. The record is from RNAcentral.
UACGUAGGGCGCAAGCGUUAUCCGGAAUUAUUGGGCGUAAAGAGCUCGUAGGCGGUUUGUCGCGUCUGCUGUGAAAGACCGGGGCUCAACUCCGGUUCUGCAGUGGGUACGGGCAGACUAGAGUGCAGUAGGGGGAGACUGGAAUUCUGGUGUAGCGGUGAAAUGCGCAGAUAUCAGGAGGAACACCGAUGGCGAAGGCAGGUCUCUGGGCUGUAACUGACGCUGAGGAGCGAAAGCAUGGGGAGCGAACAGG